CUUGAGGUCGUUUUGAGUGAGACAACGCUUUUGUGUUUCUUGUUCUAUUUUUAAAGUCAAGUUUUUAACAUCUUCAUUUAGUUUAUCCUUUUGCCUAAGGAGUUCAUUUAUUUUCUGCUGUGAUUGUUUGAGAUCACAAUCCAACAUGGAACGCUGCUUUUCAGCUUCUAACAACCGAUUUUCUACUUUUUGCUUCAAAGCUCUCUCUUCCAAAAGUUUCUUCUCCAUUUCUUUCAUGGCUUCAGAUUUUGCCUCCUCUAUAGAUUCAUAAAUCUUAUUUUUGUCUGCCAAUCGUGCUUUUGUGGCUUUAUGUUCAGCUUCCUCUUGCUCAAGGUUCUGCUGCAUAACUUUGAAUUUGUAUGUCAUAUCUAUUUCCAUGUUGCUCUUUUCCUUUUCUAAAUCUGUAAGUUUUUCCUGCAAUUGCCUUUUCUCCAUUUCUAGUUUGGCUAAUGCACUCUUUCCAUUUUUCACUUCUUCUUCCAGGCUCGAUAUUCGACCUUGUAAAUCACUGAUAAUCUCUGAUCCAUGACUUCGAUCUCUCCUUUCUGAUUCUAGAGCUGACUGAAGAUUGAGAAAGUCCUUCUCCAGUUUGAGUUUAGCGUUCUCUAGCAGGCAGUUCUUAUCCUGUAGUUCUCGAUUAUUAGCUUCCAACUGCUGGAUUUGCUUUGUACU
Molecule: long non-coding RNA, 672 nt
Filed under: Gallus gallus (chicken)
Lineage: Eukaryota; Metazoa; Chordata; Aves; Galliformes; Phasianidae
Source: RNAcentral